CCCUUAGAUGUUCAGGGCCGCACGCGCGCUACACUGAUGCAUUCAACGAGUCUAAAACCUGCUCUGAUAGGGGUGGGUAAUCUUUUGAAUGUGCAUCGUGAUUGGGAUAGAUGAUUGCAAUUUUUCAUCUUCAACGAGGAAUGCCUAGUAAACGCAAGUCAUCAGCUUGCAUUGAUUACGUCCCUGCCCUUUGUACACACCGCCCGUCGCUCCUACCGAUUGAAUGAUCCGAUGAAUAUCAUGGAUUGAGGAUGCAAGUAGGUUCGCCUAUCUUCAUCUUCGAGAAGUGAAGUAAAUCUUAUCAUUUAGAGGAAGGAGAAGUCGUAACA
Molecule: ribosomal RNA, 329 nt
Filed under: uncultured eukaryote
Lineage: Eukaryota
Description: partial 18S ribosomal RNA
Rfam family: Eukaryotic small subunit ribosomal RNA
Source: RNAcentral